UGUCGGUUCGUCCUAGAAUCCCAUCAUUGGCACGCUGAACGCGCACCGCGACGCUUCGUUUCGGUUCGAUUCGGUUCCCGACUAGCUUCGUCUUCGUUUUACUUCGUCAAGUUCGUACUGGGGAGGAAGAGGAUAAGGAUAAGGAUAAAGAUAAGGAUAAGGAUUCGCAUGUCAGCGCUCGUCGACUCAGUGAUCUUUGUUGUGAUCUCCGUUCUGCCGCCCACGCGACAAUCGACACGUUAGUGUUGUAACGUUGUUAAUUUCAGCAGCGCCGUAUCGCCUAUAACCGAGAUAAAGAAAGACGAAGAAGAAGAAAAAGAGACGAUAGGAGGAACGAGCGUCAUAUUAUAUGAAAAAAGAAAGUUUGAACCUUGUAAUUAUCAGUCAUUUAUGAAGACUGACUUGUCCAUUGUAUACUGAGAAAAAAUUUCUCCCCCUCUUCACCGUGGUCGAGGAGAUCUCUUUUCAACUCCCUGACUUCGAUAAGAAUAUAUCAAAAGAAGAAGAAGAAGAAGAACAAGAAGAAGAAGAAGAACAAGACGAGGGAACAGGGAAUAGAAAAGCGAAA
Molecule: long non-coding RNA, 568 nt
Organism: Neodiprion virginianus
Lineage: Eukaryota; Metazoa; Arthropoda; Insecta; Hymenoptera; Diprionidae
Exons: 2
Source: RefSeq, a predicted model, not a curated record